RNAcentral lists this long non-coding RNA (731 nucleotides) under Rattus norvegicus (Norway rat). RNAcentral describes it as "long non-coding RNA NONRATT017353". Lineage: Eukaryota; Metazoa; Chordata; Mammalia; Rodentia; Muridae. The record is from RNAcentral.
CCGCGCGCUCAUAUUCUAUACAGGGCACACCUCCUGGGAGUCGGUGGCUACAGGAUAAGCUCUGGGGUCUUGGAGUCUUAGGACCUGCUACUAUUUGCAGAGCUUGUGGAAGGUGUCCGGGCCCUGGAGGUACUAGGAGCUCACUGCUUUUCCUGUGCCAUCCACAUCGUUCUGAGAGUAGACUCUCUCAUUUUGCCUGGAAACCCUUUGAGUAGGCUGGACAGCCUAACAAGGGAGCUCUAAGAAUCCCUCCAGUUCUGUCUCUCCAGCUCUGGGACUUCCACUAUGCACCUCCAUGGCCAGUUAUCUGCAUGGGUUCUGAAGAGCAAACUCAAGUCCUCAUGCUGGGGGCCAGGGUGAGGGAACAGUGGUUGACUGACUGAGCCAUCUCCCCAGAUCCCUCCCAGCCACCAUGAGAAACUGAUGACUAAUUCCACCAAAGCGUCAAUGGGGAACAAUUCUAACAGUCUGCUCAGAUCUACUCCAUAAGUGACACAUCUGGAGAUUUUUUUCCACUGCUUGAAGCUGCCUCACCUAACAAUGUUCUUCUAUGUGUCUCCUACGAAGCGGCUUCCUUCCAUUGGUUGGGUGAACCAGUUGACAGCAUUGUGUGAGAAUCAUGGCUGGCAUCUGGUAGUCACACCUGAUUGUGAAACAAGCUACAGUGUUUCAAUUGCCCUUGCCCCCAAACUUAGAAAAAUGGAAGCUUCUAAUGUGAGUUGUUUCUAGUC